RNAcentral lists this ribosomal RNA (653 nucleotides) under Escherichia coli. Its description in RNAcentral is "partial 23S ribosomal RNA". It matches the Rfam family "Bacterial large subunit ribosomal RNA", at positions 1291 to 1929 of the family's 2925-position model. The record is from RNAcentral. Lineage: Bacteria; Pseudomonadati; Pseudomonadota; Gammaproteobacteria; Enterobacterales; Enterobacteriaceae.
CGAAUGCUGACAUAAGUAACGAUAAAGCGGGUGAAAAGCCCGCUCGCCGGAAGACCAAGGGUUCCUGUCCAACGUUAAUCGGGGCAGGGUGAGUCGACCCCUAAGGCGAGGCCGAAAGGCGUAGUCGAUGGGAAACAGGUUAAUAUUCCUGUACUUGGUGUUACUGCGAAGGGGGGACGGAGAAGGCUAUGUUGGCCGGGCGACGGUUGUCCCGGUUUAAGCGUGUAGGCUGGUUUUCCAGGCAAAUCCGGAAAAUCAAGGCUGAGGCGUGAUGACGAGGCACUACGGUGCUGAAGCAACAAAUGCCCUGCUUCCAGGAAAAGCCUCUAAGCAUCAGGUAACAUCAAAUCGUACCCCAAACCGACACAGGUGGUCAGGUAGAGAAUACCAAGGCGCUUGAGAGAACUCGGGUGAAGGAACUAGGCAAAAUGGUGCCGUAACUUCGGGAGAAGGCACGCUGAUAUGUAGGUGAGGUCCCUCGCGGAUGGAGCUGAAAUCAGUCGAAGAUACCAGCUGGCUGCAACUGUUUAUUAAAAACACAGCACUGUGCAAACACGAAAGUGGACGUAUACGGUGUGACGCCUGCCCGGUGCCGGAAGGUUAAUUGAUGGGGUUAGCGCAAGCGAAGCUCUUGAUCGAAGCCCCGGUAAACG